GAAAUGCGAUAAGUAAUGUGAAUUGCAGAAUUCCGUGAAUCAUCGAAUCUUUGAACGCACAUUGCGCCCUCUGGCAUUCCGGGGGGCAUGCCUGUCCGAGCGUCAUUACGCACCCUCAAGCCCGGAUUGUGUGAUGGGCCCCGGCGUCUCGUUCGCGAGACGGGCCCGAAAGGCAGCGGCGGCGUCGACCCGAUGAGCCCGAGCGUAUGGGGACUUCUGUCACACGUUCGCGGUGCGGACCGGCGCCUGCUUUGACUUUUCUGAUUAUCCAGGUUGACCUCGGAUCAGGUAGGGAUACCCGCUGAACUUAAGC
Molecule: unclassified non-coding RNA, 313 nt
Filed under: plant metagenome
Description: partial contains 5.8S ribosomal RNA, internal transcribed spacer 2, and large subunit ribosomal RNA
Rfam family: 5.8S ribosomal RNA (bases 1-105)
Source: RNAcentral